GAUGAACGCUGGCGGCGUGCCUAAUACAUGCAAGUCGAGCGAACAGACGAGGAGCUUGCUCCUCUGACGUUAGCGGCGGACGGGUGAGUAACACGUGGAUAACCUACCUAUAAGACUGGGAUAACUUCGGGAAACCGGAGCUAAUACCGGAUAAUAUAUUGAACCGCAUGGUUCAAUAGUGAAAGACGGUUUUGCUGUCACUUAUAGAUGGAUCCGCGCCGCAUUAGCUAGUUGGUAAGGUAACGGCUUACCAAGGCAACGAUGCAUAGCCGACCUGAGAGGGUGAUCGGCCACACUGGAACUGAGACACGUUCCAGACUCCUACGGGAGGCAGCAGUAGGGAAUCUUCCGCAAUGGGCGAAAGCUUGACGGAGCAACGCCGCGUGAGUUAUGAAGGUCUUCGGAUCGUAAAACUCUGUUAUUAGGGAAGAACAAAUGUGUAAGUAACUAUGCACGUCUUGACGGUACCUAAUCAGAAAGCCACGGCUAACUACGUG
RNAcentral lists this ribosomal RNA (497 nucleotides) under uncultured bacterium. Its description in RNAcentral is "partial 16S ribosomal RNA". It matches the Rfam family "Bacterial small subunit ribosomal RNA", at positions 28 to 507 of the family's 1533-position model. The record is from RNAcentral.